Molecule: ribosomal RNA, 589 nt
Filed under: uncultured bacterium
Lineage: Bacteria
Description: bacterial SSU rRNA
Rfam family: Bacterial small subunit ribosomal RNA
Source: RNAcentral
UCCUACGGGAGGCAGCAGUAGGGAAUCUUCCGCAAUGGACGAAAGUCUGACGGAGCAACGCCGCGUGAGUGAAGAAGGUUUUCGGAUCGUAAAACUCUGUUGUUAGAGAAGAACGUUGUGUAGAGUGGAAAAUUACACAAGUGACGGUAUCUAACCAGAAAGGGACGGCUAACUACGUGCCAGCAGCCGCGGUAAUACGUAGGUCCCGAGCGUUGUCCGGAUUUAUUGGGCGUAAAGCGAGCGCAGGUGGUUUAAUAAGUCUGAUGUAAAAGGCAGUGGCUCAACCAUUGUGUGCAUUGGAAACUGUUAGACUUGAGUGCAGUAGAGGAGAGUGGAAUUCCAUGUGUAGCGGUGAAAUGCGUAGAUAUAUGGAGGAACACCGGUGGCGAAAGCGGCUCUCUGGACUGUAACUGACACUGAGGCUCGAAAGCGUGGGUAGCAAACAGGAUUAGAUACCCUGGUAGUCCACGCCGUAAACGAUGAGUGCUAGUUGUUUGGGGCUAUCCAGCCCUAAGUGACGCAGCAAACGCAUUAAGCACUCCGCCUGGGGAGUACGACCGCAAGGUUGAAACUCAAAGGAAUUGACGGA